This 5520-nucleotide long non-coding RNA is filed under the name Gossypium barbadense (sea-island cotton). RNAcentral's name for it is "long non-coding RNA (GBAR_LNC001057)". Lineage: Eukaryota; Viridiplantae; Streptophyta; Magnoliopsida; Malvales; Malvaceae. The record is from RNAcentral.
UCUUUCCAGAAUUGUUCUUCCACAAACUCACUGUCAGAUUGAAUUUACUAGCAAGCUUAUCAAAAUACAGCUGAAGUUUCUCCUUCUCUUCGUCAUAAAUGCGAUGUAUAUAAUAUAAAAUAUCUUUGGAUUGAAACUCAAACAUGGGUUGUGUUGCGCGGAAGCGUGUGAAAGAGUAAAAUUAUUGUAUUGAAAAAUCACACUAAGUUCAAUUCCCAGGAAAGAGAGGUGGAUCACGAGGAUCGCGUACAUACCAGAUCUUUCCUAGCCAGAAUAUCCCUCUAUCGUAAUUUAAUAGCACAAUAAAUCACUACAAUAACACUUGCAAAAUAUGCAGAACAAAAAUAAAGAACACUAGAAUUUUAACGAGGUUCAGCAAAUUUUGCCUACGUCCUCGGGCACUACCAAAUAUAUUUCACUCCAAAAAUACAAGUGAAAGUUUACAAAUAGGGAGAGAGAACAAUUGCCUUAAGUAGAGAAUGGCAAGUGUGGGAUGAAGAAAGUAAGAAAUGGUUAGGCCUAUUUAUAGUUGAGGUUCAAGGAUCAACUUGCAAUGUCCCUAUACAAUUAGGGACCAAAAUUGCAAUUAUCUCAUGCCAACUUUUAACCCAACUUGCCAACCAAUUUUACUUUCUACUUUCGGUGCCCACCCUUUUUGACUUUUCAAACAAUGGGUGGGUUCCAAUAAUCUCCACCUUGAAGAUUUGAUUAGGAUAAUCUUAUCUUCACACAAUUCUUUCUACCUUUGACAACAAUACUUGAUAGUGCCUUCUUCAACUGUUAAACUUGCAGGAUAUUAAUCAAGUUCAAACAAUGUUCGAACUUGGUUGAUGUUACCACCUUGGUCAUCAUAUCUGCGGGAUUAUCCGCAGUCUUGAUCUUCUGAAGACAAAUUUUCCCCUCUUCAAUAAUUUCCCGCACAAAAUGGAAUCGUACGUCGAUAUGUUUUGUACGUGCAUGAUAGACUUGAUUCUUUGCUAAAUGAAUAGCACUUUGACUAUCACAAUACACGUUAAUAUGCUCCUGAACCAACCCCAAGGUUUUAGCCAUACCUUGUAACCAAAUAGCCUCCUUUACAGCCUCUGUUACAGCCAUGUACUCGGCUUCUGUGGUUGACAAUGCAACUGUAGACUGUAGUGUAGACUUCCAACUUAUUGGUCCUCCAGCAAGUGUAAACACAUAACCGGUGGUUGAUCUUCGCUUGUCCAAAUCACCGGCAUAGUCAGAAUCAACGUACCCAAUAACACCUUUACCAAGUGUAUUAUCCUGCUUGAACAGUAAUCCAACAUCCACGGUCUUCUGAAUAUACCGUAGAAUCUAUUUCACAGCUUGCCAAUGUCCUUUUCCAGGAUUAUACAUAUACCUGCUCACUAUACUAACUGCCUGUGAAAUGUCGGGUCUUGUACACACCAUUGCAUACAUCAAGCUACCCACUGCAUUAGAAUACGGAACUUGCAACAUGUAUUCUCGUUCCGUAUUCGUCGAAGGAGAUAGUUGUGCAGAAAGCUUGAAAUGAGAAGCCAACGAGGUACUUACAGGUUUGGUCUGCUCGUUCAUGCCAAACUGCUGUAGUACUUUCUUCAAAUACUGCUUCUGAGACAAGCUAACUCUGCCAUGAGCUCUAUCUCUACAUAUUUCCAUGCCGAGAAUCUUUUUAGCUUCUCCUAGAUCUUUCAUCUCAAACUCGAGAUUGAGUUGAGUCUUCAAUCUCUCAAUCUCAACUUUGCUCUUAGAUGCUAUCAGCAUAUCAUCAACAUAUAAGAGCAAGUAUAUGAAAGUUCCUUCUUGUAGCUUCUGAAAAUAUACGCAAUGAUCAAAUUUACUUCUUGUGUGCCUUUGCCCUUUCAUGAACUGAUCAAAUCGCUUGUACCACUGCCUCGGAGAUUGCUUCAAUCCAUAAAGCGACUUUGUCAGUUUGCAAACCCAAUUUUCUUUUCCAGCAACCUUGAAUCCAUCUGGCUGAGUCAUAUAGAUUUCCUCUUCCAAAUCACCGUGUAAAAACGCGGUCUUCACAUCAAGCUGAACUAGUUCAAGAUCAUAUUGCGCAACCAAGGCUAGCAAAAUCCGAAUAGACGAAUGCUUUACAACUGGAGAAAACACUUCAUUAUAGUCUAUUCCUUCUUUCUGAGCGUAACCCUUUGCUACCAAUCUAGCCUUGUAUCGAAUUUCAUUUUUUCCAGGAAAUCCUUCCUUCUUUGCAUAUAUCCAUUUGCAUCCAAUUGCCUUCUUUCCCUUGGGCAGUCUCACCAACUCCCAAGUCCUAUUUUUAUGAAGAGACUGCAUUUCUUCAUUCAUAGCUUGCUUCCACUUUACACCAUCAGAGUUACUUAUUGCUUCUGUGUAAGUGGAAGGAACAUCAUCAUCUGCAAUUGGAAGUGCAUAGGCCACCAUAUCGUCAAAGCGAGCAGGCUUACGAAUCUCUCUUCUUGGCCUCCUAUAUGCAAUUGAAUCUUGUUGCUGUAGAAGUUCUUGGGUCGAAACUUCUUCAUCAUUUGUUCUUUCAAUAUUAGCUGGAUCAUCAUUAACCUUUUCAAACUCCACCUGCUGCAAAGUACUACUGGUUUUGUCAUCCUUUUGUGAAUCCUCGUUCUUCAUCAUGGUUGAUUCAUCAAAAGUUACAUCUCUACUGAAAACAAUCUUCCUUGUAUCAGGACACCAGAGACGGUAUCCUUUUACACCACCAGUUAUACCCAUGAAUAAUGCUUUCUUUGCUCUUGGGUCUAACUUAGAUUCUUUUACAUGAUAAUAUGCAGUGGAACCAAAAACAUGUAAAGAAUCAUAAUCAGUAGCAGGUUUACCAUUCCACAUCUCCAUAGGAGUUUUUCCAUUUAUUGCAGCUGAUGGCAAUCGGUUAAUUAGAUGGCACGCAUAUGUAACUGCCUCAGCCCAAAAUUCCUUGCCCAAUCCAGCAUUGGACAACAUACAUCGAACUUUCUCCAGUAUAGUCCGAUUCAUGCGUUCUGCCAUCCCAUUCUGCUGUGGUGUAUCUCGAACAGUGAAGUGUCGCACAAUGCCCUCAUCUUGACAUACUUGUAGAAAUGGAUCAUUUUUGUACUCAGUACCAUUAUCUGAUCGAAGUCGUUUGACCUUUCGACCUGUCUGAGUCUCCACCAUCUUCUUCCACUUCAGAAAUGCAUCCAAAACUUCAUUUUUUCUUUUCAUUAGAUACACCCAUACUUUUCUUGAAUAAUCAUCAAGAAAAGUGACAAAAUAGUGCAUACCUCCCAAAGAAGCCACUUUGGUAGGUCCCCACACAUCACUGUGAACAUAGUCCAGAAUUCCUUUCGUAUUGUGAAUUGCUGAACCAAAUUUUACCCUCGUCUGCUUGCCCAGAACACAAUGUUCACAGAAUUCCAAUUUGCAAGAAUUUGCACCUUUCAACAAGCCUUGCUUCGCCAAAGUCUGCAAAACUUUUUCACCAGCAUGUCCCAAUCGCCUAUGCCAUAACCUGGUAGCCUCUGAAUCUGCAUCUUUCGCAGAAGCUGUUGAUGUUGAUCCAAUAACUGUACUUCCAUUUAAAUAGUACAAGUUAUUUCUUCUAGUGCCUUUCAUCACCGUCAAUACCCCAGCUACUACCUUUAGUAAUCCAUCUCUCAAAGUGAUUGUGAGCCCUUUAGAUUCUAGGGCCCCUAAUGAGAUGAGAUUUUUCUUCAAGCUGGGUACAUAGCGAACAUCUGUCAGAACUUGGAUUGAGCCGUCAUGGUUCUUCAAUUUGAUUGUACCUACACCCAUUGUCUUACAAGCACUAUCAUUGCCCAUAAAAACAACUCCACCUUCUAGUUCUUCAAGACUAGAAAACCAGUCCUUAUUAGGACACAUAUGGUAAGUACAUCCCGAAUCCAAUAUCCACUCAUCCGUUUGACAUGCCAUUGCCAUGCCAACCAAGCUAAAGUCUGACUCCUCAUCAUGCUCCGCUACACAUGCAUUAGAAAUAGACUUGCCCUUUUGUAACUUAGGACAAUUCUUUUUCCAAUGCCCUUUCUCACGACAAAAGGCACAUUCAUCUUUGGCGGGUCUCCCUUUGGACUUACCCCUUCUACCAGGUUUGCUGCUGUGUGAACGACCUCUUACUGUUAAGACUUCUGCAGUUGUAUCUCUGUGAUCUCUUUUAUCUUUCUUUCGAGUCUCAGAUCUAUACAACGCACUACAGACUGCAUCAAAUGUGAUUGAAUCUUUCCCAUGAAGCAAUGUGGUGGUAAGAUGAUCAUAUUCAUCAGGAAGGGAAUUCAACAACAAUAAUGCCUUGUCUUCAUCUUCAAAUUUCUCAUCCAAAUUUAGCAAGUCUGCUAAAAUUUUAUUGAAUGAGUUCACAUGGUCAUUCAUCGACAUACCGGGUGCAUACGUGAACCGAAAAAGUUUCUUUUUCAUAUAAAGCCUAUUUUCAAGACUUUUCGUUAGAAACUUUUCUUCCAAUGUAUCCCACAGCUUCUUCGCUGAUGUCUCCCUCAUGACGGAGUACUUCUGCUCUUUGGCCAAACAUAGGCGGAUUGUACCACACGCCUGUCUAUUGAUCUUGGCCCACUCCUUGUCAUCCAUCUUGUCAGGUUUUUCUUCAAGGGCUAUAUCCAGCUCUUGCUGACAUAAGACAUCCAGGAUCUCACACUGCCACAUACCAAAAUUAUUGGUACCGUCAAAUUUCUCUACUUCAAAUUUUGCAUUUGUCACAGUAGUCCUUGCUGAUGACGAUGCUGCUGCCAUUUUUCUCCUCAAUCCCAACUACUGUAUACGUGAACAGUACCGUAUACGUGAAUAGUGCCGUAUACGUGAAUAGUACCGUAUACGUGAAUAGUGCCGUAUACGUGAAUAGUACCGUAAACGGUCGUAUUCCCCAAGUACGAACCUGGCUCUGGUACCAAUUGUUGCGCGGAAGCGUGUGAAAGAGUAAAAUUAUUGUAUUGAAAAAUCACACUAAGUUCAAUUCCCAGGAAAGAGAGGUGGAUCACGAGGAUCGCUUACAUACCAGAUCUUUCCUAGCCAGAAUAUCCCUCUAUCGUAAUUUAAUAGCACAAUAAAUCACUACAAUAACACUUGCAAAAUAUGCAGAACAAAAAUAAAGAACACUAGAAUUUUAACGAGGUUCAGCAAAUUUUGCCUACGUCCUCGGGCACUACCAAAUAUAUUUCACUCCAAAAAUACAAGUGAAAGUUUACAAAUAGGGAGAGAGAACAAUUGCCUUAAGUAGAGAAUGGCAAGUGUGGGAUGAAGAAAGUAAGAAAUGGUUAGGCCUAUUUAUAGUUGAGGUUCAAGGAUCAACUUGCAAUGUCCCUAUACAAUUAGGGACCAAAAUUGCAAUUAUCCCAUGCCAACUUUUAACCCAACUUGCCAACCAAUUUUACUUUCUACUUUCGGUGCCCACCCUUUUUGACUUUUCAAACAAUGGGUGGGUUCCAAUAGGUUGCAAACCUUUCACAAAAUUCUUAAAGGUUUCUUGCUCAGCCAUAUCCAAAGGACAUUGAAGCUUAAUCAUCAUUUUCACAAGAUCCAUGUGACUCCUUUUUUUAUCAAACCUCAAGCUUCCUU